AUUGAACGCUGGCGGCAGGCUUAACACAUGCAAGUCGAGCGGUAACAGAUCCAGCUUGCUGGAUGCUGACGAGCGGCGGACGGGUGAGUAAUGCAUAGGAAUCUGCCCAGUAGUUGGGGAUAGCCCGGGGAAACCCGGAUUAAUACCGAAUACGCCCUACGGGGGAAAGCGGGGGAUCUUCGGACCUUGCGCUAUUGGAUGAGCCUAUGUCGGAUUAGCUAGUUGGUGGGGUAAUGGCCUACCAAGGCGACGAUCCGUAGCUGGUCUGAGAGGAUGAUCAGCCACAUCGGGACUGAGACACGGCCCGAACUCCUACGGGAGGCAGCAGUGGGGAAUAUUGGACAAUGGGGGCAACCCUGAUCCAGCCAUGCCGCGUGUGUGAAGAAGGCUUUCGGGUUGUAAAGCACUUUCAGUGAGGAGGAAAACCUUAUGGCUAAUAUCCAUGAGGCUUGACGUUACUCACAGAAGAAGCACCGGCUAACUCCGUGCCAGCAGCCGCGGUAAUACGGAGGGUGCAAGCGUUAAUCGGAAUUACUGGGCGUAAAGCGCGCGUAGGUGGUUUGGUAAGCGAGAUGUGAAAGCCCCGGGCUUAACCUGGGAACGGCAUUUCGAACUGUCAGACUAGAGUG
Molecule: ribosomal RNA, 629 nt
Filed under: uncultured bacterium
Lineage: Bacteria
Description: bacterial SSU rRNA
Rfam family: Bacterial small subunit ribosomal RNA
Source: RNAcentral